UUAACUUAUUAUAAUAUUACUCAGACAAUACAAAAAUCAAGAGUUUAGGUCCUCUGGCAGACACGGACCAGCUUAAAGCCAGUAGUCAAAAGACAGGCCUGCCAAAGCAACAAAGGUAUAGUAAACAAAGGGUGGAGAUCUACCCCAAGGGGCAAGUUCUCUGUAAUGAUCCUUCCGCAGGUUCACCUACGGAAA
Molecule: unclassified non-coding RNA, 195 nt
Filed under: uncultured fungus
Lineage: Eukaryota; Fungi
Description: sequence contains ITS1
Source: RNAcentral